CCCUUAGAUGUUCUGGGCCGCACGCGUGCUACACUGACCGGUGCAACAAGUUUCUUUCCUUGGCUCGAUAGGCCUGGGUAAUCUUUGAACACCGGUCGUGAUGGGGAUAGAUCCUUGCAAUUUUUGAUCUUCAACGAGGAAUUCCUAGUAAAUGCGAGUCAUCAUCUCGCGUUGAUUACGUCCCUGCCCUUUGUACACACCGCCCGUCGCACCUACCGAUUGAAUGGUCCGGUGAAUAAUUCGGACUGCAGCACUGCUUGGUCUCCAGGCUUUGCAGCGGAAAGUUUAGUGAACCUUAUCACUUAGAGGAAGGAGAAGUCGUAACA
Molecule: ribosomal RNA, 326 nt
Filed under: uncultured eukaryote
Lineage: Eukaryota
Description: partial 18S ribosomal RNA
Rfam family: Eukaryotic small subunit ribosomal RNA
Source: RNAcentral